UACAACGGGGGUUUUUAAUAAAUCCUAAAGUACAAAUCCUUCACUAUUAAGCAUAUAAUAUUAAUAUUAAACUCACUUAACUUAAGGAUCAAUCCUUUCCUAAGGAUUAUUUUGCGUGAAUCCUUGUUGACGUGGCACUUGUUUUUUGUCUAUCGCGUGCAGGGUUUCCCGUGUUCGUGUCAUUUGAAGUGGAGAGGAGAAAAAAAAAGUUUGUCUCUCCGAUAGGCGAUUCGCUCUCUCCGGGUAAGAUUUUUGAAUCGACGGGUUGUUCUGUUCUUCUCCUCUGAUUCUUUGGAUUUACAUAGGGUUUCAUGUGUUUCUCUUCGCAAAUUAGGUUACGGAAUUGGGGAUUAGGGUUUUCAAUCACGUUUUGAAUUUCAAUCAAUUUCGGGUAUCUUUCGUUUGUAAUAAAGGUUUAAAAUCGAUAGAGGUAUCAUUCGAUAGGAUUUUAAUAGGGCUUUGAAUCAGAUUAAAUAUCGUGAGUCUUGUGUUUAAAAAUGAUUUGUGUUUCAAUCGAUUUGGGGUAUUUUUCCUUUG
This 537-nucleotide long non-coding RNA is filed under the name Brassica napus (rape). RNAcentral's name for it is "long non-coding RNA (BNAP_LNC008030)". Lineage: Eukaryota; Viridiplantae; Streptophyta; Magnoliopsida; Brassicales; Brassicaceae. The record is from RNAcentral.